Molecule: long non-coding RNA, 9557 nt
Organism: Helianthus annuus (common sunflower)
Lineage: Eukaryota; Viridiplantae; Streptophyta; Magnoliopsida; Asterales; Asteraceae
Exons: 11
Source: RefSeq, a predicted model, not a curated record
UAUCCUUAAGCGGGCAAAAGGGUUUUCUCAAUUCUCCUUCAUUCAAUUUUGAAACCGCUGCUCUUCAUAUGGAAACCACAAUCAAUCACCAACCACUUGAAAAUAUUCUACUUCUCACACGCUUCUCCCUUCCACAACACGAUUCACAACCCUAAUUCAUCAAUCGUCGCUCUCUUCCUCCCUAGGUUUCUUCCUCUACCAGUUUGUUCUUCAUUAAUCGUCGUUAUUUUACUCCCAUUUCCUCCAUAACAAUGAAAGUUACUCGAUUUCGUCUCGAUUUGUUAUCCCAAUCUGAUUUUUGGCAUCCAGGUAACAAUCAAUAUCAUCAAUAUGUUUACCAAUUUAGGGUGAAAUCAACAAAAAAAAUCAUCACUGAUACAGAUCCGACAGCGGUAUCUAUUGAUUUGGUGUGCAUAACCUUCAACUUUAACGCUUGAAGGUAAUAUUGAUUUUAACAAGUUUAAUAUGUCCUGUGUGUUUUGUAGUUAGAAUGCUGAAAGAUUUAUGUGUGAAAAUCAUUGACGAUUAUUUGUAUAUUUUUUGGUUGCAACACAUGCAUCUUCGUUGAGUACUUGAAUAUUAUAUUUGCAUAUAUUGAUGACAAUGUGGUUUUAUAUCAAUAGCUGAUUGUACUUAUUGUUUUAGAUAACAAUUAUAUGCAAGAAACGAAAGAUAUGACUAGGGAUGAACUCGGUACUAACCGGUACCGAAAAUUACAAAAAUGGGUACCGGUACCGAAAAUACCCGGUACCGUACCUGUACUGAAAACGUCAAAUAUUGGUACCGAGAAUAUUUCGGUUUGGAACAUUCCGUACCGUUACCAUUUGCAGAUCCUUAGAGAUGACAGACUAUAAAGAAAAUAAUGAAUCUUUUUAGUUAUUAGCUAAACUUAUUUGAUGUUCAAUUAGGCCUUUUAAGCCAACUUUAUAUCUUACUUAUUCUGAAUUACCCAUGUAUUUCAUGGGUUUGUAAUCUGUAUACAAAUAUAUUUAACUGUCUAUCAUGUUCUUUAAGUAAAUAAUUUGUUAUACAGUAACCUGUGCUUAUGAUUAUUGUUGGGUUUGCAAUAUAUUGAAUUCAAACCUAUUAAGGAAUUUGGUAUAACUUGACUUAUAAUUAUAAGUUAAGCAUUCGUAUGAAUGAACACUAACAUCUACUUACUUUUCAUGGUCGUUUUAAAUGCUUAUGAUCAUGGUCGAUUUUCAGGUUGAUAAUAAUUAUUUAAUAUCUAUAACGGGUCAAUUUGGUUAACUUAAAGAAAUUAACUAUAUGGGUCAAAUGUGUUGAACUUUGAGCAGGAUGAGGAUAAAUAAAGUGUAUGUGAUUCUACAUAUAUGAACAUGUGACAACUUAUACCUAUAGGCUAUAAAGUAAACUGGUCUUAUAUGAGAAAAUAGCAUUUGUGGACGAUAUAUAUUAUAUAAGGUGUGGUCAAAGGUUGCUUUCCAUAAGCCAUGCCCAUAAUAUAUGAUUAUUGCGGGGAAUCAAAAAUAUUUCGAUUCCGGGCUCAUGAACUUCCAUUUUUUCCUUAUUUCGCGCGGGGAACAUGCACCAUCAUUUAUAUUUAUGGGUAAAAUAAAGAGUUUUGAGUCCGAUCAAAUGGAGUCUAAAAGCGGGAAUGGUGAUAGUGAGGUAUAGAAAACCUUGCUGGAGCUUCUUAAUCAACUGCAAGGAUUCGAAGUAUCAAACAAGAUCAAGGUACUUUUUUGCGCAUUAUCAACACAAAUAUUUAGAUAUCUUUUUAAAGAUGUUAUAUUUAUGCAUCAUAUCUCUUUACAAUUAUAAUACCACUAGGUUAUCACCCGUGAAUACUCACGGGUCGGAUAUUUAAAUUUUAUUAAAUAUAAUUGUAUAUAUUUUAAAAAUGAAUAAUGCAUGACUAAUAAGAUAUAUUAAUUAAACGUUAACAACGUCUUCAAAAUUAAAAAUACUUAUCAAAUAUAAGACAAAGAAAACAUACUUGAUAAUAUUUAUUUACAUAAUUAUUUAAAGAAUCUUAAAUUACUGGAAUCUCAACUUCUUGUUUAAUAUAUACUACACAAAUGUAUAUAUAUAUAUAUAUAUAUGUUAAAAAAUGAAGAAUGCGUGACGAAUAAGGUAUACUAAAGUAUAUGUUGGACCUAUAAUAGACUGCCCAUAUUGAAUUAGACUAUCCCUACAAAUUCAACUAUGUACGACAAUCUACAUGGUUUCUUCUUUUUACCAGAUUCUAGCAAUGAUACCUCAAAUUAGUUGUCCUAUGCAUUCCCAAAACACAUUGAAGAAAUUUCAACUACUAUUGAGGUUAAAGUUUCAAUACUCAAAGAAAACAACUCAACACACAUUAACUUUUGAACUCACACUUUCCAAUCACUCCAAAAUUACAUUAAAUACCUGCACUCAUCCGAUAUUCGUUUGACCACUACUUGCAUAUACAAAACUAACCCAUGUUCCAAUCGAACACAAAAACAUGUUACUAAAAGAAUAUAUAAACUAAUUACUAUUGACCCAUUUAAUGACCCAUAUUCUGACUCGUAUCCAAUGAUUCGACUUUGACUCGUACCCAUCAAGAUUAACCUAUAAUAACUCUAUAACUCAUAAAAACCUUUCAAAACUCAGAUACAAAAUCCCAAUUUCUACAACAGCAAACAAAACCUAUAACAUCUUAUAUCCCAAUGAUUUAACAAAUAAAGACAUUUCUUGAACCUGAGUUAUAGAGUUCAAAACAUUUCAACUAUACUUCUCUUUAGUUAGUUUAUCAAUCAUCUUGUGAAAUUUUUUUAUAUUACGUGUCCUAGUUUUCUUUUUUGUAACAUCACGACGAUCUACAACGUGCUACAAAAUACUUUAUCAUUAGCAAAAUCAAUGUAAAUUUGUUACUUCUUGAUGCUAAAAUUGAGCUUUCAAUCCUAGGGAUGUUUUAGAAAGUCCUUGGUUUCCAUAGGCCCACAUUAUUUUUUAUUUUUAUUUUUUGAAAGGCCAACAAAAUCCAUUUUAUUUCAUCUAGGACCAACAAAUAAGUUAGUCCAUCACCAAAGUACAUAAGUUCACCAAACAGAAAGGAAAUUACACAUUUAAGCCUUGUAAAUUAAAACUACACCACUGCAGCCAUGACAAAUCUUCUGCCUUUGACCUGCUCUUUAUAUAGAGGUAACCCAAUUGUUUUAUCUCUUCUUUUACGCCUUCAAGUGAACCCAUUUUGUGGUUAAAUACCACGUCGUUCUGGUGUCUCCAUAUACUCCAAAGAGCGACUUGAACGACAUCAUUUAUAAGUUUCUUCCAUCUUUUCUCGACCCUCUGGCAUGUUUCCAGGCCUCCAACACAUCUGUUAUGCUGAACCAAAACAUACCCGGAAUCCUGCACCAGUUUGCGAUAAAAUCUCAAAUGGACCGCGCAAAGUCACAUGACACAAACAGGUGUUCCAAAGUCUCACCUUCCAGCAUGCAUAGUUUACAAACUGUAGAAUCCAGUUGCACGUUUCUUAUUGAUAGCUCUACCAUUGUCGGUAUCCGAUUCAUAGCAAGCCUCCAUGCCAUGAAACUCACCUUAAUCUUCCAGAGAAAAUCCGCCUCCCCAACCGAGUAACACCCGUGUUGGAGUUGUUUUUCUUAUACUCUGGACCGAGAACUUCCAGUCAGUCGUCCCAAACCCACCUCUCUUCGCCUGAGCUGGAAGUGAACCACAUGAGAUCCAACAAAAGCUCCUCCAAUUGUUCUGUUUCCUCAGUUGAACCGGGACUUCUAUGCCACUGGAACCUGAUUUCAUUAGAGCCGUCGAUCUGUGUGAUACAUCAUAUUAUGACAGUGUUAAUUAAUAGAGAGAGGGCAAGUAAUAUUGCUUUUAGUGGAGGCUUGGUUGGUUACUUAUAGUCAUAUAACUAAUUAAUCAUAAAGGGACCAUAAAUUUGAUUAAAAGAAUCCAUAACCUUACUCAGGGCACUUCAAUCUCUUAACUAAUUCAGUUAUUCCAUUUAUUUUUUAUGGUUGUUUUAAUUCAAUUCCACAAAAGGCAAGACAAUACUUCGGACUUAACUGUGUUAAUGUAGUUGUGUUAGCAAUGACAAAUGAAACAUUAACAAACUGACCAAGGGUCUUGCACAGUAAUGCCUUUCCUGAUUUUAUAUAGUCAAAUCAAACAAUUCAGCAAUAUGCAAACAACUUAAGAGGAUCUGAUAUGCAAAGAAAGAAAGAAAAAUAAGUAAAAAAGUGGAACAGCCUCAUGAAUCAUACCCGAGCUAGUUGGGACCAUUAAAAGUACAUUGCUUCUCACUAUCUCAACAUUAGCGUCGCCAUCUUCUACGCUAGCUCUUCCCAUUUUUAUACCAGACCUAAAAUUUAACAAUAACAGAACAUACCAAAAGUAGAGUCAGACUUCUAAUUCUCAUGUGUAUGUAUACUCUAUUAAGAUAUAUAUUUUAUAAUUUAAAACUUUAAAUGAACAACUUAGAAGAAUAAGAGAUAGAAAGUCGCUUACUUAAGGCUUUAUAAGACAUUGUGUAAAUCUUAGUCAGAGGCAAAGUUUAGUUACAAUACAUACAGCCUCCUAACUUUUUAGUCAGAGGCAAAUCGAUAACGUAAAACGGAAUUUAAUAUCGUGACUCUUGAUUUCUUCGACCGUCGAAGGAUGGUAGGGGAGGGUAAAGGGAACAUGCAUCUUAUUAAUCCAAUUAUUACAUUAUUAAUUAGCUACCCGGAUUAUUCGUGGCGAUAUGAUUCUGGCAUCUUAAAUCCGGUUGAUCUCAGGCGUCUUAGUUUUAUAUGGUAAAUUCCUUUUUGCCCACAUGAAAUCUAUUAUAAAGUAGUAUAGAUUCAGCCAAUUAUACGAACUCACCAACACAUUCAACAUCAAGGACUACAUUGUACUCGAUACUCGUUAAGCAUAUCAAAACUGGAAAGUUCAUAUAAUCGAUCGGAUAUAAGAUCAAUUCAGUUGACCACAAAAGUCAACUGCAGUAUGACAGAUAAGUAGUAGAUAACCCAUCUAAGAAGAACAUCGGGUAUAGUGAAAGCCAAAUAAAUUGAAUUGAGAUAAAAGAUUGAAAACACUAAAACCACGUAUAUAACAUAAUAUCAAUUUUACAUCAAAAUAACAACUUGAAGCUAAAGCAGCAGUUAAUUCUUUGCGUCACAAAUAAAACACAUAAAACUAAUCCGGAAAAUAACAAAAUGUUCACAACUCACCCGGAUCGCGGUCCACUUAUGCCCCCUCGGAAACGAUCGCCACCCCUUUGAAACGGCUUUCUUCCUCCACGAUUUGAAAAUCCGUCGCCUUGAUUAAUUUUUUUAGAACUUUCACCAUUUGCAAUAGCAACAAAAGGUCUCACGGUACUGUUAUUGCAUUCCAUUUGAAGUUGAUUAGACAUUGCAACUCCUUGCGGUAAGCCCGCGAACACCAUUGGCGGGCCCACUUGUGAUUGGUUAAAGUUGUUCUGAGGCAUACCUGAAGGCCAAGACACAAAUGCACCAAAAUUGAGGGGAACCAGUCCAGAAAACAAAAAAUAUAACAUAAAAAAAACAAAUCGGGUGAAAAAGGACCUGAAACAACUAUGUUCGACCCACUUCCUGAUUUUUUUUGAAAGAAAUGGUUCUUGGUUUGGUUUGAAUUGAGAACUGAACCAGUUUUUUGUUAAUUUAUUUAUUUUUUAAACUUAAAAAUGGAGUUGUUUCAGGUAUGCUUUUAACACAAAAACCGUAAACUGUGACCAAAUUGAUUCAUGUUGGUUUGCCUUACAUGUCUGGUCCACUGGUAUUGUUCAAUGAGAACUGAGCUGCAUAAAGAUCCAUGAAAAGUUCAGCGAUAGAAGUAUACCAUUGUUUUCAUUGGAAUCAAAAUGGCGAGUAUCCAGCCUUAUCUUCAAGUGAUCCUUUGCAUCCCGGUGAACAUGAACACAUGUAAAUUAAUAAAGAAUAAAAAAUUUAAAUCUGUUAGACUAAACAUCACCUGUAAAUUAAUAUUUGAUGCCAAUUACCCAGCAGAGAGUUUAUAGCCAACCCAUCCACUCUUAAACCCUAGAUAUCCACCGGCUAUGAUCACAAAAAUCAUGGCACUUAUGUUUGCAGUUGUCACAAUCGAUUUCACAGAAGUGCUCUACCACAUAAAAUUAACAAUCUUAAAAACCUUUUGAAAAAUGAACGAAUAAAAAAUUAAAGGAAAAUAUGAUUAAUACAUUAUGAAUCUGCUCAAAUCGAUGGACGAUUCAAAUGAAUCAACCAAUUUUGUGUGGAUUGUAUUGCAAUUAACAUCAAAUAAAAAUUUGAUAGCGAAAAAUAUGACCCUAGUUUGAAAGAACGAACCUGAUAAUUGGGGAUUGAAGAAGAAGAUGUAGCGAUGAGGAUGAAUUCGAAGAAGAUGCAGUUCUCAGCAUUGUAAUGGCUAAAACAUUUAUUUCGGUUUGGAACAUUCCGUACCGUUACCAUUUGCAGAUCCUUAGAGAUGACAGACUAUAAAGAAAAUAAUGAAUCUUUUUAGUUAUUAGCUAAACUUAUUUGAUGUUCAAUUAGGCCUUUUAAGCCAACUUUAUAUCUUACUUAUUCUGAAUUACCCAUGUAUUUCAUGGGUUUGUAAUCUGUAUACAAAUAUAUUUAACUGUCUAUCAUGUUCUUUAAGUAAAUAAUUUGUUAUACAGUAACCUGUGCUUAUGAUUAUUGUUGGGUUUGCAAUAUAUUGAAUUCAAACCUAUUAAGGAAUUUGGUAUAACUUGACUUAUAAUUAUAAGUUAAGCAUUCGUAUGAAUGAACACUAACAUCUACUUACUUUUCAUGGUCGUUUUAAAUGCUUAUGAUCAUGGUCGAUUUUCAGGUUGAUAAUAAUUAUUUAAUAUCUAUAACGGGUCAAUUUGGUUAACUUAAAGAAAUUAACUAUAUGGGUCAAAUGUGUUGAACUUUGAGCAGGAUGAGGAUAAAUAAAGUGUAUGUGAUUCUACAUAUAUGAACAUGUGACAACUUAUACCUAUAGGCUAUAAAGUAAACUGGUCUUAUAUGAGAAAAUAGCAUUUGUGGACGAUAUAUAUUAUAUAAGGUGUGGUCAAAGGUUGCUUUCCAUAAGCCAUGCCCAUAAUAUAUGAUUAUUGCGGGGAAUCAAAAAUAUUUCGAUUCCGGGCUCAUGAACUUCCAUUUUUUCCUUAUUUCGCGCGGGGAACAUGCACCAUCAUUUAUAUUUAUGGGUAAAAUAAAGAGUUUUGAGUCCGAUCAAAUGGAGUCUAAAAGCGGGAAUGGUGAUAGUGAGGUAUAGAAAACCUUGCUGGAGCUUCUUAAUCAACUGCAAGGAUUCGAAGUAUCAAACAAGAUCAAGGCAGGUGUUGACAACGGUCAUCCCGUAUGCUACAAUACACGGACAAGGUUUCUGAGCUGGAGGAUGCAGUUUCUUAAAAAGAGUACCCGGAAGCUCGAUGUUAGCCCGAAUCGAGUGUGUAUGGAUUUUAAGAACUCGCCUGGACUGUUUAAGUGGGACCUUCAUCAAGCUACCAAUCAGGCACUGCAGUUGUUUCACACGAGGCUAAACCUAGAUACUCAGCUAAGUAAUGUAAUUUCAAUCGGAGUUGGAUACUCAACAUAUAUUCAUUUUGAGUCAGCUCAUGACUUGGUUAGCUUUUGUUUUGUUUUGUUUUUUUUUUUUUUUUUUGGUUCAGAUGAUUUUGUAUGUGUUUUUUAGAAGACUUAGAUAAAACUAUAUUGUAAAAUUAUCCAUAAGCUAAUAAAACUAUACUAUACUAUAAAAUUAUAUAUUUUUUCGACUUCUGUUAUAUUUGACCUUUUCAAUGAAUAUCGACAAAACAUAUCCCCCAUGUUUUGAGGCAAGUCUUUUGGUUCACAUGUCUUUUCGUACUAAAGUGAAAUUACUGAAAUGACCUCACACUCACUCGCCUGAUAUGAUAAGAAGCCUAAAAACUUAUUAACGAUAUCCCUGGUAAUUUUUACAUAAGUCUAAAAACUUUUUAACCAUCUCUGCCGUAAUCUUUAAAUAAGUAAUAAAACGUUUAUUUCAUUUCAGAGUUCUAUAUAAACACAGAUAAAUAGUACAAUUUACUUUUGGUAACCCAUUAAGUUUUUUGUGAACAGUUCUACAAAUCAUAUUUUUUAAGUUGCUCUGUUAUUUCACUCGACUUACCAAUUUCGUUUUGAAACCUACUAAUUUUGUUAUUUUAUGAAGCAAAGGGGGGCAAAUCGUCAAGAUUUUUAGAUAUCCUUUCAGAUCGCGUCCAAACCUAAAAACGACAAGCUACCCGCUUUACCACCGUCAAUUGCAUUUGGGUUUGUUUGAUUGUCUUCUAAACUAUGCUUUUUAUCAAAAUAAUUUGCUUUAUAUAAUAACAAAUGUUGAAAAGACUUAUCAGCGAUUUGCGUUUUUAGGUUUCUCGUGACCGACAUCUGUUGGUCUUCAAUACUUACAUUCACCGCUGAAAACACCCAGCCCCAUUGUCCCUCUUGUGUGUGACGCGUGACUUAUCUUGAUGUUGAUUUUUAUGUGGCGCUUACUUUUCUUCAGUAGUCUAUUUUUGUUCCGGUGGCUGCCUACGGUGGUUUUGGGCGCUUCUUCUGCGGUUUUCUUUGUUCAGGUUGAGUCCUAUAUGAAAGCUUCUGCUCAAACCAUUUCUUUAAUUGGUCGAGAGGCCGAUGGCAUGUGCUCAAACGGAUUCGGGUAAAACAAUAGCAUUUUGCUUCCGCAAAGGGGGUAAAUCGUCAAGAUUUUUAGAUAUCCUUUCAGAUCGCAUCCAAACCUAAGAACGACAAGCUACCCGCUUUACCACAGUCAAUUGCAUUCAGGUUUCUCGUGACCAGCAUCUAUUGUUCUUCAAUACUUACAUUCACCGCUGAAAACACCCAGCCCCAUUGUCCCUCUUUUGUGUGACGCGUGACUUAUCUUGAUUUUGAGUUUUAUGUGGCGCUUAGUUUUCUUCAGUAGUCUAUUUGUGUUCCGGUGGCCGCCUACGGUGGUUUUGGGCGCUUCUUCUGCGGUUUUCUUUGUUCAGGAAAGGAGAUUAUUAUAGGUAUCUUGCAGAGUUCAAGACUGGCGAUGAUAAGAAAGAGGCAGCUGACCAGUCUCUGAAGGCUUCUCAAUUGGCUUCCACCUCAGCAGAAGCUGAAUUAUCUUCUACUCACCCGAUCAGGUUGGGUUUGGGUUUGAACUUCUCUGUCUUCUAUUAUGAGAUCAUGAACUCUCCUGAAAGCUAUCUCAGAGCUUGAUUCCUUGAGCGAGGAAUCGUACAAAGAUAGCACUUUAAUUAUGCGGCUCUUGAGGGAGAACCUCACUUUGUGGACUUCCGACAUUCCAGAGGAUGGAGAAGAUGAAAAGAUGGAGAUCACCAAAUCUGUUGCGGAAGAGUAGUCUAUUUGUGUUCCGGUGGCUGCCUACGGUGGUUUUGGGCGCUUCUUCUGCGGUUUUCUUUGUUCAGUAAGAUUGUAUGACGACUGCGGCCUAGCUCUGGGUAAGACAUGAUGAUGUAUGUUAUUUGUAAGCUUGAUUUCUAAAGUAGUGAUUGAGAGGAAUGAUUUUAGGUUGUAUUUGUUUGAACGGUUUUAGGUCACUUAUUCAUUCCGAUAUCUAUCAAAUAACAUUGCCUUUUCUUUUCUGAUGGUUCA